This is a long non-coding RNA of Oncorhynchus tshawytscha (Chinook salmon), 488 nucleotides long. The record is from Ensembl. NCBI's taxonomy places the organism in Eukaryota, Metazoa, Chordata, Actinopteri, Salmoniformes, Salmonidae.
UUACAGCUAGACUGGAAACUGAGGGGGAGAGAGGGAUGUUCUGUCCUGCAACUGUCAGGUGUGUUAUCGGUGAGCUGUGUUAUCGGUGAGGUGCGUUAUUGGUGAGGUAUGUUAUCGGUGAGGUGCGUUAUUGGUGAGGUGUGUUAUCGGUGAGGUGCGUUAUUGGUGAGGUGUGUUAUCGGUGAGUGCUGGACCUGGUGUGUGAUUGGUGAGGUGUGUUAUUGGUGAGGUGUGUUAUUGGUGAGGUGUGUAAUUGGUGAGGUGUGUAAUUGGUGAGUGCUGGACCUGGUGUGUUAUUGGUGAGGUGUGUUAUUGGUGAGGUGUGUUAUUGGUGAGGUGUGUUAUUGGGGAGUGCUGGACCUGGUGUGUUAUUGGUGAGGUGUGUUAUUGGGGAGUGCUGAACCUGGUGUGUUAUUGGGGAGGUGUGUUAUUGGGGAGUGCUGGACCUGGUGUGUUAUUGGGGAGUGCUGGACCUGGUGUGUUAUUGG